RNAcentral lists this long non-coding RNA (633 nucleotides) under Oryzias sinensis (Chinese medaka). Its description in RNAcentral is "lncRNA (ENSOSIG00000018884.1)". The record is from RNAcentral. Lineage: Eukaryota; Metazoa; Chordata; Actinopteri; Beloniformes; Adrianichthyidae.
UGCGCAGUGCGCACCUGUUAGUAACUGGUGCCCACCUGUUAGUUGUCUGUUUUUUUUGUUGAUUUUUUUUUUACUUGUCCUGUCCAACAGCUGGGCAGACAGAUGAUAGCUGAAGGCCUCUUGUGUUAGACAUAUUUCACUUUUACUUUAUUUGAAUUUUUCUUCCUCCUUCAAUAUUUUUUAGGGGCUCUGUAACAUCAUUUUUUUGUUUGCAUUGUCCAGGUGUGUGAAAAUCAGAGGCAGGAGCUGCAGCUUCUACGUCUGAACCAGGGAAGAGCUCACGAAGCUCUGAGGCAGAAGACCAGUGAGAGCCUCGGGGAGCCGACGUGUAAAUGUGUAAACCAUCAGUCGCCUUCAUCGCUGGGAGUGAAAACGCCUCCACCUGGGCAGGAUCCUCCUUACCUGACACAGGGAGGAGGUCAUCUGUCCAGAUCUUCUCUGCAGCGGCUGAUGGACGAACUCCUGGUUUCUUCGGAAAAAACCGACUCCGCUGGUGAUGGGGGAACCGCUCAACCACGUCACCUGGAAGGGUUUCCGUGGCGUCAGCAGCAGCCAAACGCCUCCCGGGUCCAGGCGAGUCCAACUCCACCCGAAGCCUGCCCUCGUCCCAGUUCGGUGCCGUGGACGCCGUGA